UCUAAAGCAUAUUUUCUAGCAAAAAUCUUAAUAGUGGUUUCUAGUGUAUUAUUAGAUAAUAAUAUAUACUUACAAACAAAGUAUAAAUUGUGUCAUUGGCAAAUUGGUAUUGCAAGAUAGUUUAAGUAGUAAGUUGGCAACGUAUGCAUGUUAUAGUUGGUUGAAUUAACAAUGCAUGUAAUAAUCUCCACUAAACAUAAAAAUGGCACCAACUUUGCAAUGAGAUUAUUUUUGGUUGAAUUAACAAUGCAUGUUAUAGUUGGUAGAGAUUAUUUUAAGUGUCUAUCACUUACAGAAUGAUUUAAGUAAAUUAUGAGCGUAUAGUUGUAUAAUUUUUAGCCAUCGUAUUUUGAAUCAAGAAUGGUAGAAUGACAAUCUUUAAGCAAACUACGUGGAAUCAAUCUUUGUGGGCAUGGUCAUGCCGUUAUGCAAGACAAAAGAAGAAAUGCAGUAACUUUACCUACCGACACAAGCAUGAGAUAUUGAAAUGGUGUUGCAAGCUUCAAAUCACCCCAUAAACCUUUUUGUUCUUGGGUACAAGAUUGACAUGAUGCAACUAUAUUCUUAGUUGUGCUCUUCUUAGGCAGAACAACAAUAACAAGUGGACAUUUGAGUGUGCUUACAACAGAGUGAAGUAGUAGAUAUUUGUUUUUUUCCUUUUUGUAUAUAAUCUGAGGAAAUGGAGUAGUAUUUUCCUCAAGUUUUUUGUUGUGCUUUUGUGAGAACUUGGAAACAUCUCACAUGCAAUGCCUUUAUGGAAGCCGAGGCGGUGUGUGGGAAGCAACAUUUGAAUGGUCAAAACUAAAAUCAAGCAAAUGAAUAAUCACUUGAAUAAGAUGCGGGAAUUUAUAAUCGGUUUUGUGCAUGCCAUUGGUUUGGCCCACUAGGGUAAACCUUUGUUUAUUCCUUCCAAUCACUAACCAUUUGCAUGUUGAUGUGAUCAAAAUUUCAACCCUUCAUCGGAAAAUUUUAGAAUUGAAGUUUGAAAUUUUGGUUUCCAAAUUAAGAAGACAAAUAUUCUCACUUGUUUGGUUGUUUAAUAUAAUUUUAUUUAACCAUGGAAUUGAAGUUGUAGGUAUUUUGCCUCACAAAAAGAAGUUUUAGAUACUUCAAACUCAAGUUGAAAAAUUAUUACCUCCAUCCAUAAUUAUGCAACAUCACAGAAUGAUGGAUAUAUUACUUAUUAAUUUUCAUUUUUUACUCCCUCCUUGCCAAAUUAUAGUGCAUGAAUGCUUUAAAAGUUAAAUAUCAUAAAUUUGACCAGG
Molecule: long non-coding RNA, 1265 nt
Filed under: Hordeum vulgare
Lineage: Eukaryota; Viridiplantae; Streptophyta; Magnoliopsida; Poales; Poaceae
Description: long non-coding RNA (HVUL_LNC007908)
Source: RNAcentral